This 460-nucleotide ribosomal RNA is filed under the name uncultured bacterium. Its description in RNAcentral is "partial 16S ribosomal RNA". It matches the Rfam family "Bacterial small subunit ribosomal RNA", at positions 338 to 795 of the family's 1533-position model. The record is from RNAcentral.
CCUACGGGAGGCAGCAGUGAGGAAUAUUGGUCAAUGGCCGUAAGGCUGAACCAGCCAAGUCGCGUGAUGGAAGAAGGAUCUAUGGUUUGUAAACUUCUUUUAUAGGGGAAUAAAGGUAUCCACGUGUGGAUAUUUGCAUGUACUCUAUGAAUAAGCAUCGGCUAACUCCGUGCCAGCAGCCGCGGUAAUACGGAGGAUGCGAGCGUUAUCCGGAUUUAUUGGGUUUAAAGGGUGCGUAGGUUGUGUUUUAAGUCAGCGGUGAAAUUUUGUGGCGUAAACAUAAAAUUGCCGUUGAUACUGGAAGACUUGAGGGUGUUUGAGGUAGGCGGAAUGCGUGGUGUAGCGGUGAAAUGCAUAGAUAUCACACAGAACUCCGAUUGCGAAGGCAGCUUACUAAGCCAUAACUGACACUGAAGCACGAAAGCGUGGGGAGCAAACAGGAUUAGAUACCCGAGUAGUC